Molecule: ribosomal RNA, 301 nt
Filed under: uncultured bacterium
Lineage: Bacteria
Description: partial 16S ribosomal RNA
Rfam family: Bacterial small subunit ribosomal RNA
Source: RNAcentral
CAGCAGCCGCGGUAAUACGUAGGGUGCAAGCGUUAAUCGGAUUUACUGGGCGUAAAGGGCGCGUAGGUGGUUAUUUAAGUGAGAUGUGAAAGCCCCGGGCUUAACCUGGGAACUGCAUCUUAUACUGGGUAACUGGAGUGCAGUAGAGGGUAGUGGAAUUUCCGGUGUAGCGGUGAAAUGCGUAGAUAUCGGAAGGAACACCAGUGGCGAAGGCGGCUACCUGGACUGAGACUGACACUGAGGCGCGAGAGCGUGGGGAGCAAACAGGAUUAGAUACCCCUGUAGUCCCUGUCUCUUAUAC